This is a small nuclear RNA of Cervus hanglu yarkandensis (Yarkand deer), 105 nucleotides long. The record is from Ensembl. NCBI's taxonomy places the organism in Eukaryota, Metazoa, Chordata, Mammalia, Artiodactyla, Cervidae.
UGCUCACUUCGGCAGCAAUAUACUAAAAUUGAAAUGAUACAGAGAAGAUUAGCAUGGGCCCUGCUCAAGGAUAACACACAAAUUUGUAAAAUGUCCCAUCUUUUU